Molecule: long non-coding RNA, 807 nt
Filed under: Oncorhynchus kisutch (coho salmon)
Lineage: Eukaryota; Metazoa; Chordata; Actinopteri; Salmoniformes; Salmonidae
Description: lncRNA (ENSOKIG00005039261.1)
Source: RNAcentral
AUGGAGGCAGAGCGAGAGAGGGGCCCAGAGAGAGAAGAGAGGGAGAGAGAAGGAGAAUCUGUGGGAGAAGGGGACUUGGAGAGAGAGGGAGAAAGUGAACAAGAAGUAGAAAGAGCAGAAGCGAUAGAGAGGACAAGAGAUGUCAUUGGAUCCCUUAUUGGACUGCCGUAUACCACCCUAUCCAGCGAGGACCCCACUGUGCUGCCUGGCGAGGAGACAGAGCUGCCCAUGGAGAUGCCUGCCGCACUCGCAGAGGAGAGGACACCAGUGUCUGUCCCUUUGCCCCCUUCCACACACGGUGAACCAGAGGAGCGAGGGAUGGCUAGAGAGAGGGGGAGAUGGAGAGAUAGCCCCACCCAACAGGAUGUUACUCCCCCAGUGAAGCAACCUCGUAGGAGGCAGCUGCUCUUCAUCGACCAGGAAACACAGAUAUCCCAGGAGGCACUGCAGCAACAGAUAGACAACACUCUCAUACAGACCAGGCCCCUGGUUGUAAUCAGUGGUCCCUCUAAGAGAACAGUGUCUCCAGUUGAUCUCCUUGGUAACCCAUGCACCACCCUCCCUCCAGAGCUGCUGUUGCCAUGGAAACGGGUGGCGAUCGUCGCAGCGCUCACUGGCUCCGCCCUGCUGGUAGGGAGGACAGAGACAGACUCUGAGUCAGAGAGAGAGAGGGAUAAAGAGAGAGUGAUGAAGGCAAAGGAGGAGGGAGGCAGAGAGCAGGAGGGAGAGCUCAGCUCAAAAGAGGUGAGGCGGGAUCAAACUGUUUUUUUGGUGACUACACGUGUGCACCUAAUAACUGGACAAUGA